UUGCUGGCCAUAAACUCCACAAAUACCUAUCAGACUACAGGCAUUUAAUCUACAGUUGAAGGUAAACAAAACUGGGGUCUAGUUUAGGCGAAAAGAACGUUUUACAAAACUCCAAACCACCGGAUGUGCCUCUGAAAACAUGUGCCUGGACACACAAGUGCGUAAAACAACCCGCCAGU
Cavia porcellus (domestic guinea pig) is the source of this 179-nucleotide non-coding RNA. NCBI's taxonomy places the organism in Eukaryota, Metazoa, Chordata, Mammalia, Rodentia, Caviidae. The record is from Rfam.